UACACACCGCCCGUCACAUCACGAAAGUGGGUUGUACUAGAAGUCCCGAAUCUAACCGCAAGGAGGAUAGGGCCCAAGGUAUGACUCAUGAUUGGGGUG
This 99-nucleotide ribosomal RNA is filed under the name uncultured bacterium. RNAcentral describes it as "partial 16S ribosomal RNA". It matches the Rfam family "Bacterial small subunit ribosomal RNA", at positions 1384 to 1482 of the family's 1533-position model. The record is from RNAcentral.